Molecule: long non-coding RNA, 451 nt
Filed under: Oryzias javanicus (javanese ricefish)
Lineage: Eukaryota; Metazoa; Chordata; Actinopteri; Beloniformes; Adrianichthyidae
Description: lncRNA (ENSOJAG00000023600.1)
Source: RNAcentral
AUGCCUCAGAGGUCCGUUUACAGAGGAACUUUGGAUCCAAACCCGGACAGUAAACAGAACCUCGUCGGUCUCUCUGGUGUUGCUUUAAUUACGCGCUGGCAGCAGAUUCCAGGCCUGCAGAUUAAGGGUUUCUCAGAACAAAAGCGAUGUAGAACAGAGGAGAAUUCAGCUGUAAUCUUCAGAAAGAGCUCCGUGUUCUCGUAUUUCUGUGAUUUCUUCAUCUGUCCUUCCCUUCUUCCUCUUCAUCUUUUUACCCAGAGCUCAUUCUUUUGUCGCUUCAUUGUUGUCUGUGUCUUAAAUAAAGGCUUUCACUUCUUUUCUCUGCUCUCUGAUUCAUGAUGACCACUAUAGUAAAUCGAUUUUUUUUUGUAAUUUAUUUGGGUUUCUUCUCAAUUGAACUCACUUUUCUCUCAUUUCGGUUUGAUUCCUGUGAUUAUAUGUUUGUCUUAAG